Molecule: transfer RNA, 76 nt
Filed under: Pseudomonadales bacterium
Lineage: Bacteria; Pseudomonadati; Pseudomonadota; Gammaproteobacteria; Pseudomonadales
Also listed under: 2 other names
Description: tRNA-Gly
Rfam family: tRNA
About the family: Transfer RNA (tRNA) molecules are approximately 80 nucleotides in length. Their secondary structure includes four short double-helical elements and three loops (D, anti-codon, and T loops). Further hydrogen bonds mediate the characteristic L-shaped molecular structure. tRNAs have two regions of fundamental functional importance: the anti-codon, which is responsible for specific mRNA codon recognition, and the 3' end, to which the tRNAs corresponding amino acid is attached (by aminoacyl-tRNA synthetases). tRNAs cope with the degeneracy of the genetic code in two manners: having more than one tRNA (with a specific anti-codon) for a particular amino acid; and 'wobble' base-pairing, i.e. permitting non-standard base-pairing at the 3rd anti-codon position.
Source: RNAcentral
GCGGGAAUAGCUCAGUUGGUAGAGCAUGUGCUUGCCAAGCACAAGGUCGCCGGUUCGACCCCGGUUUCCCGCUCCA